CAGAGUUGCAAAACUCCCACAAACCAUCGCGAAUCUUACCCGUACGGUUGCCUCGGCGCUGGCGGUCCGGGAGGCCCUCGGGCCCCCCGGAUCCUCGGGUCUCCCGCUCGCGGAGGCUGCCCGCCGGAGUGCCGAAACCAAACUCUUGAUAUUUUAUGUCUCUCUGAGUAAACUUUUAAAUAAGUCA
Molecule: unclassified non-coding RNA, 187 nt
Filed under: soil metagenome
Description: partial internal transcribed spacer 1
Source: RNAcentral